GGAGCGUGAAGCGGCAGGGUGCCGCGUGUCAUUGCCAACGACAGCGGUCGGGGCAGCUCCUCGGCUGGGGUUCGAGUCCCCCGCGCUCCG
RNAcentral lists this transfer RNA (90 nucleotides) under Thermoleophilaceae bacterium. RNAcentral's name for it is "tRNA-Gly". Lineage: Bacteria; Bacillati; Actinomycetota; Thermoleophilia; Thermoleophilales; Thermoleophilaceae. The record is from RNAcentral.